ACCGCGUGAGGGAUGAAGGCCUACGGGUUGUAAACCUCUUUUCUCAAGGAGGAAGAUCUGACGUUACUUGAGGAAUAAGCAUCGGCUAACCCUGUGCCAGCAGCCGCGGUAAUACAGGGGAUGCAAGUGUUAUCCGGAAUUAUUGGGCGUAAAGCGUCUGCAGGUUGAUAUUUAAGUCUUUUGUUAAACCUCCGGGCUCAACCCGGAAUCUGCAAAGGAAACUAUCUAUCUUGAGUAUGGUAGGGGUAAAGGGAAUUUCCAGUGGAGCGGUGAAAUGCGUAGAUAUUGGAAAGAACACCAACAGCGAAGGCACUUUACUGGGCCAGUACUGACACUCAGAGACGAAAGCUAGGGGAGCAAACAGGAUUAGAUACCCUGGUAGUCCUAGCUGUAAACGAUGGAUACUAGAUGUUGUGUACCUUAGGGUAUGCAGUGUCGUAGCUAACGCGUUAAGUAUCCCGCCUGGGAAGUAUGCUCGCAAGAGUGAAACUCAAAUGAAUUGACGGG
Molecule: ribosomal RNA, 507 nt
Filed under: uncultured bacterium
Lineage: Bacteria
Description: bacterial SSU rRNA
Rfam family: Bacterial small subunit ribosomal RNA
Source: RNAcentral